ACACUCCUGCGGGAGGCAGCAGUGGGGAAUUUUGGACAAUGGGCGAAAGCCUGAUCCAGCCAUGCCGCGUGCAGGAUGAAGGCCUUCGGGUUGUAAACUGCUUUUGUACGGAACGAAACGGCCUUUUCUAAUAAAGAGGGCUAAUGACGGUACCGUAAGAAUAAGCACCGGCUAACUACGUGCCAGCAGCCGCGGUAAUACGUAGGGUGCAAGCGUUAAUCGGAAUUACUGGGCGUAAAGCGUGCGCAGGCGGUUAGGUAAGACAGUUGUGAAAUCCCCGGGCUCAACCUGGGAACUGCAUCUGUGACUGCAUAGCUAGAGUACGGUAGAGGGGGAUGGAAUUCCGCGUGUAGCAGUGAAAUGCGUAGAUAUGCAGAGGAACACCGAUGGCGAAGGCAAUCCCCUGGACCUGUACUGACGCUCAUGCACGAAAGCGUGGGGAGCAAACAGGAUUAGAUACCCUUGUAGUCCCA
This 473-nucleotide ribosomal RNA is filed under the name uncultured organism. Its description in RNAcentral is "partial 16S ribosomal RNA". It matches the Rfam family "Bacterial small subunit ribosomal RNA", at positions 333 to 797 of the family's 1533-position model. The record is from RNAcentral.